AACGAACGCUGGCGGCAUGCCUAACACAUGCAAGUCGAACGAGAUCUUCGGGUCUAGUGGCGCACGGGUGCGUAACGCGUGGGAAUCUGCCCUUUGGUUCGGAAUAACAGUUGGAAACGACUGCUAAUACCGGAUGAUGACGAAAGUCCAAAGAUUUAUCGCCAGAGGAUGAGCCCGCGUAGGAUUAGCUAGUUGGUGUGGUAAAGGCGCACCAAGGCGACGAUCCUUAGCUGGUCUGAGAGGAUGAUCAGCCACACAGGGACUGAAACACGGCCCAGGCUCCUACGGGAGGCAGCAGUGGGGAAUAUUGGACAAUGGGCGAAAGCCUGAUCCAGCAAUGCCGCGUGAGUGAUGAAGGCCUUAGGGUUGUAAAGCUCUUUUACCCGGGAUGAUAAUGACAGUACUGGGAGAAUAAGCUCCGGCUAACUCCGUGCCAGCCGCCGCCGUAA
Molecule: ribosomal RNA, 449 nt
Filed under: uncultured bacterium
Lineage: Bacteria
Description: partial 16S ribosomal RNA
Rfam family: Bacterial small subunit ribosomal RNA
Source: RNAcentral